Molecule: ribosomal RNA, 74 nt
Filed under: Cryptosporidium sp.
Lineage: Eukaryota; Apicomplexa; Conoidasida; Eucoccidiorida; Cryptosporidiidae
Description: partial small subunit ribosomal RNA
Source: RNAcentral
GGCCAGAUUAGAUACCAUCCGUAGUCUUAACCAUAAACUAUGCCGACUAGAGAUUGGGGGUUGUUCCUUACCAA